RNAcentral lists this ribosomal RNA (504 nucleotides) under uncultured bacterium. RNAcentral describes it as "bacterial SSU rRNA". It matches the Rfam family "Bacterial small subunit ribosomal RNA", at positions 8 to 507 of the family's 1533-position model. The record is from RNAcentral.
AGAGUUUGAUCCUGGCUCAGAUUGAACGCUGGCGGCAUGCGUAACACAUGCAAGUCGAACGGUGUUUGGUGCUUGCACCAGACAUAGUGGCGGACGGGUGAGUAAUGCGUAGGAAUCUGUCUUAGAGAGGGGGACAACCCGAGGAAACUUGGGCUAAAACCGCAUAUUCUCGAGAGAGGAAAGCAGGGGACCGGAAACGGCCUUGUGCUCUAAGGUGAGCCUACGUCGGAUUAGCUAGUUGGUAGGGUAAAAGCCUACCAAGGCGAUGAUCUGUAGCUGGUCUGAGAGGACGGACAGCCACACUGGGACUGAGACACGGCCCAGACACCUACGGGAGGCAGCAGUGGGGAAUAUUGGACAAUGGGGGGAACCCUGAUCCAGCGAUGCCGCGUGUGUGAAGAAGGCCUGCGGGUUGUAAAGCACUUUCAGUGGGAAAGAGAAGCGUCUUGUGAAUAAUGGGACGUGGAGACGUUACUCACAGAAGAAGCACCGGCUAACUCUGUG